UGCACCGAAGCUGCGGCAGCGACACUAUGUGUUGUUGGGUAGGGGAGCGUUCUGUAAGCCUGUGAAGGUGUGUCGUGAGGCAUGCUGGAGGUAUCAGAAGUGCGAAUGCUGACAUAAGUAACGAUAAAGCGGGUGAAAAGCCCGCUCGCCGGAAGACCAAGGGUUCCUGUCCAACGUUAAUCGGGGCAGGGUGAGUCGACCCCUAAGGCGAGGCCGAAAGGCGUAGUCGAUGGGAAACGGGUUAAUAUUCCCGUACUUGGUGUUACUGCGAAGGGGGGACGGAGAAGGCUAUGUUGGCCGGGCGACGGUUGUCCCGGUUUAAGCGUGUAGGUGUGUGUUCCAGGUAAAUCCGGUUCACUUUAACACUGAGGCGUGACGACGAGGCACUACGGUGCUGAAGCAACAAAUGCCCUGCUUCCAGGAAAAGCCUCUAAGCAUCAGGUAACAUCAAAUCGUACCCCAAACCGACACAGGUGGUCAGGUAGAGAAUACCAAGGCGCUUGAGAGAACUCGGGUGAAGGAACUAGGCAAAAUGGUGCCGUAACUUCGGGAGAAGGCACGCUGACACGUAGGUGAAGUGAUUUACUCAUGGAGCUGAAGUCAGUCGAAGAUACCAGCUGGCUGCAACUGUUUAUUAAAAACACAGCACUGUGCAAACACGAAAGUGGACGUAUACGGUGUGACGCCUGCCCGGUGCCGGAAGGUUAAUUGAUGGGGUCAGCGCAAGCGAAGCUCCUGAUCGAAGCCCCGGUAAACGGCGGCCGUAACUAUAACGGUCCUAAGGUAGCGAAAUUCCUUGUCGGGUAAGUUCCGACCUGCACGAAUGGCGUAAUGAUGGCCAGGCUGUCUCCACCCGAGACUCAGUGAAAUUGAACUCGCUGUGAAGAUGCAGUGUACCCGCGGCAAGACGGAAAGACCCCGUGAACCUUUACUAUAGCUUGACACUGAACAUUGAGCCUUGAUGUGUAG
RNAcentral lists this ribosomal RNA (969 nucleotides) under Salmonella enterica. RNAcentral describes it as "partial 23S ribosomal RNA". It matches the Rfam family "Bacterial large subunit ribosomal RNA", at positions 1190 to 2141 of the family's 2925-position model. The record is from RNAcentral. Lineage: Bacteria; Pseudomonadati; Pseudomonadota; Gammaproteobacteria; Enterobacterales; Enterobacteriaceae. RNAcentral also lists the same sequence under 1 other name.